GACAGAGGGUGCAACCGUUGUUCGGAAUUACUGGGCGUAAAGGGCGCGUAGGCGGUUUCGUAAGUCCCGUGUGAAAGCCCCCGGCUCAACUGGGGAAUUGCACGGGAAACUGCGAGGCUUGAGUUCGGGAGAGGGAAGCGGAAUUCCGGGUGUAGCGGUGAAAUGCGUAGAUAUCCGGAGGAACACCGGUGGCGAAGGCGGCAUUCUGGACCACAACUGACACUGAGAGACGAAAGCCAGGGGAGCAAACGGG
This 253-nucleotide ribosomal RNA is filed under the name uncultured bacterium. RNAcentral describes it as "partial 16S ribosomal RNA". It matches the Rfam family "Bacterial small subunit ribosomal RNA", at positions 524 to 776 of the family's 1533-position model. The record is from RNAcentral.